Molecule: long non-coding RNA, 1927 nt
Organism: Quercus lobata
Lineage: Eukaryota; Viridiplantae; Streptophyta; Magnoliopsida; Fagales; Fagaceae
Exons: 4
Source: RefSeq, a predicted model, not a curated record
AAUGCUUCUUCUUCUUCUUCUUCCCCUUCUUCUUCCCCGUUCCACUUCUCUGUCAUCCAAUACACGCUUCACGGUCAAACCUUCGCCGUCAUCCAAAACAUUCUCCUUCGUCCAAAACAGACCCUACAGCCAAAGCCCUUCCCCAUCAUCCAAAACCCAGACCCAUAUUAGCUCCAACAAAAACUGAUCCCAUUCCCCUUCUCCGUCGUCCAAAACGCCUCUGAAGUAAUUCACUCCAAUCGCAGAUACAGGGAUUUCACUUCUUAACCCUCAGGUGUGUUGGGUUUUGGCCGUCAAUUGCAACUGAAGCUAGUCUCCUCUGUAAAGGAAGUCCAAGCCCGAGGUCAGUGUUUGGCAACAUCUACACGGCACCUCCUUCCAUGUCUAUUUGUGCAGUUUUGUUUGCCUUAUAUAAUGCUGUACAUAAGCACAACUACGGUACCCAAUAUACCUCCAUUAGGGUGAGAUAUAUUAAGAUGCACUUCUUAUUGUAAAAAAAGAUGAUAAAGUAAGAUCUCAAAGGUAAAUGCCUUUGGUAGGUUUUGACUUACUAAUGGUUGUAUUUAUUAAAUAGUUGUAAAUCCUUUGUCUUUUAAUUGUGUUACUGAUUCUUGGGGGAAAUGUUUUGAUGAUCCAUGUUUAGUUUAUCAAUUUAUCUGUAAAAAUGUAUUUGGUACUCCAAGAACCCAGUUUUGGUCUGUACAAAACACCCGUAUCUUGAAUGUGUAUUGAGUCUGCCAUCAUGAUAUGUUAGAUAGUUGAUGCAGAAUCUGUUUUAUAACUUAUAUUUAUGACAAUGAUGGUUAAUAUCUUAGACAUUGUUACUUGACCGGGGUGUAGUUAUAUGCAAAAUGGGGUGCACUGACUUGACCUUUUUUGAAGGCUAGGUUAUUUCUGUUAGUAUGCUGGAUUAUUUUUAUGUGUGUUGUUUCAAGUCUGCCCUUUGGAAACUAUGUAGAUAUUUAUGUGUGCUGUUAUCUAUAUUUGUUAGUGGGAGUGAAACUGUGGAGCACUUUGGUUUACUAAUCUCUUUAAAUUGUGUUAUUUUAAUUCAAAACUUUUGAAUAAGGUUCUAAAUGAUGUAUUAUAAAUUUUUGGGUGUCAGUGUCAGUUAGUUACUAUUUUGUUAUAUUAGAUGUUACUCAUAAGAUAAUUUUAGACAAGCUAUGAGUUUUCUGUGUUUGAAAAACUGAAUCUUUAUCCAAAUAUACAAAGGCUUAAAAAGUAAAAUUCCAUUUUAAAUUUGGGGAUUUAAAAGGACUUAGGUUUUGGUAUUUUGAUCAGUUGGUUUUGAAUUACGUGAUUGGGUUAGAUUUUGUUUUAAUUAAGGUUUUGAUUUAGACUUAUUCUUCUUCAUCUACUGUAAUUUCAAAAGGUUGUUUGUUCAUUUGAAUGAAAUUGAUACCUCUUUUUGGUUGUUUAAUUGUUUUGAUAAUGAUUGAUUUUGUUUAUUUGUUUGGUGUUUUCAGGUUCCCAAAGUGGUUUAUUUAGGCUAUUAUCGGAUCGGCCUCAACCUUCGACUCAUGGUUUGAGUUUUUCACAAAGACAGUGCUUAGUAAAGGCGUUACACGCUGAGCCAAAACGUAAUGAUUUGAUGGCCCUUGAGUUUGGUGUUGUUGGCACACAAAAAGCUCAUUAGGGAGAAGCUUGCAGAAGAGGCUGAACAGAACGUUAAGCAGGGGAGGCCAAGAGGGAAUAUUACUUGGUAACAAGUAUUUCAUACUGGAUUGAAUUGUUCAAGAGCUGUUGCUGCAUUAAGGUUUUAUUAAUUAAGUGCUACUGCAUAUUGAGACAAACAAAUUUAAUUCUAUGCAACACUCAAUCAAAUUAAAUCAUUUUGAGUUCAAGCCUAAGGUAGACUUGGCUGUGUAUGAAAAUUGAGGAAUAGAUGUCUUGAUUUGGUUGGAUGAAAGUUUUUGAAUUAGCG